This 404-nucleotide ribosomal RNA is filed under the name Fusobacteriota bacterium. RNAcentral's name for it is "Fusobacteria bacterium partial 16S ribosomal RNA". It matches the Rfam family "Bacterial small subunit ribosomal RNA", at positions 355 to 776 of the family's 1533-position model. Lineage: Bacteria; Fusobacteriati; Fusobacteriota. The record is from RNAcentral.
UGGGGAAUUUUGCACAAUGGAGGGAACUCUGAUGCAGCGACGCCGCGUGAGUGAUGAAGGACUUCGUUUCGUAAAACUCUGUUCUAUGGGAAGAAAAGGACUGUACCAUAGGAGAAAGCUCCGGCUAAAUACGUGCCAGCAGCCGCGGUAAUACGUAUGGAGCGAGCGUUGUCCGGAAUUUUGGGGCGUAAAGGGUGCGCAGGCGGCUUUACAAGUUGGAUGUGAAAUAUUGUGGCUCAACCACAAACGUGCAUCCAAAACUGCGAAGCUUGAGUUAAGGAGAGAUAAGUGGAAUUCCUGGUGUAGCGGUGAAAUGCGGAGAUAUCAGGGGGAAUACCGGGGGCGAAGGCGACUUACUGGACUUAAACUGACGCUCAGGCACGAAAGCGUGGGGAGCAAACAGG